GUGUGUGUAUGUGCAUACAUGCAUAUAUUUGAAUUUUAAAAUCAAAAACAGAAUGCAUUAUAGCUUCUAACUAUUGGAUUAAUUUGAAAACAGCUUUGUGGUGGAAUUUUACAGUGGGCAGCAUGAGGCCUGAGUGGAAAUGGCUUCUUUUGUCCCACGUUAAAUGUGAUGCCACUUGAGGUCCUGGUCACAAAUGGAUCCAAAUCGGAGGAGGAAAUGGGAAACAUUUUCCUUGCUCUAACAUUCAACUCCACUGUUGGUCAAAGGAAACCCUUUCUGAGGAGCCAACUUUUCCAGAAUAAAAUGGAAGUCUGUAUUGUUAGAGUGAGAACAAAGACACAUCAUUGCAGGUGUGGAAGGUCCGUCACUCAGGACUGACAAUUGAGAAAGAGCUAGUGAAUGCUGGUGUGUCUGCAGACGAGGAGACACAAAUAGGCUGAGCUCAGAGGGCUCCAGUGUAGAGCUUUACCCAUGGUCUUGAACCUGAGAGUUCUAAGCACUUGCUUGCUUUUAGUUUUCUAAAUCAUUCAGAGCAUUUUUACCCAUGGCCUCUAAUAUGGUGUGGAUCUGUGUCCUCACCCAAAUCUCGUGUCAAAUUGUAAUCCCCAAUGUUGGAGGUGGAGGCUGGUGGGAGGUGAUUGGAUCAUGGGGGCAGUUUCUCAUGAAUGAUUUAGCACCAUCUCCCUUGGUCAAGACAGUGAGUGAGUGAGUUAUCAUGAAAUCUGUCUGUUUAAAAGUAUGUAGUGCCUCCCUCCACCCUUCCUCCUCCUCUGGCCAUGUAAGAUGUGCUGGCUUCCCCUUCGUUUUCCACCAUGACUGUAAGUUUCUUGAAGCCUCCCCAGAAGCUGAGCAUGUGCCAGUAUCAUGCUUCCUGUACAGCCUGAAGAACUGUGUGCCAAUUAAACCUCUUUCCUUUAUAAAUUAUCUCGUCUCAGGUAUUUCUUUAUAGCAGUGCAAGAAUGGACUCACACAGCCUCUCAUGUUUCCCUGGAAGGCAUGUGGAAGGACAGAGGAGAAAAUAAAAUCUUAAAUUGAAUUUUCAGGAUGUACUGGACACUAUGCUUUCACUUGACCUUAUUUCACUUGGUUCCCAGGACUACUCCAGAAAAUACAGUGUGUUAUUCUUCCCAUUUUGCUGAUGAUUGGAUAAAGAAAAUGUGGUGUGUAU
Molecule: long non-coding RNA, 1168 nt
Filed under: Homo sapiens (human)
Lineage: Eukaryota; Metazoa; Chordata; Mammalia; Primates; Hominidae
Description: HSALNT0340197
Source: RNAcentral